Molecule: transfer RNA, 77 nt
Filed under: Holosporales bacterium
Lineage: Bacteria; Pseudomonadati; Pseudomonadota; Alphaproteobacteria; Holosporales
Description: tRNA-Pro
Rfam family: tRNA
About the family: Transfer RNA (tRNA) molecules are approximately 80 nucleotides in length. Their secondary structure includes four short double-helical elements and three loops (D, anti-codon, and T loops).
Source: RNAcentral
CGGGAAGUGGCGCAGCCUGGUAGCGCACUUGCUUCGGGAGCAAGGGGUCGGCGGUUCGAAUCCGCUCUUCCCGACCA